CCUACGGAAGGCAGCAGUGGGGGAUAUUGCACAAUGGGCGAAAGCCUGAUGCAGCAACGCCGCGUGAGGGAAGACGGUUUUCGGAUUGUAAACCUCUGUCUUCGGUGAAGAAACAAAUGACGGUAGCCGAGGAGGAAGCCACGGCUACCUACGUGCCAGCAGCCGCGGUAAUACGUAGGUGGCAAGCGUUGUCCGGAAUUACUGGGUGUAAAGGGAGCGCAGGCGGGGCGACAAGUCAGCUGUGAAAACUAUGGGCUUAACCCAUAAACUGCAGUUGAAACUG
Molecule: ribosomal RNA, 283 nt
Filed under: uncultured prokaryote
Description: partial 16S ribosomal RNA
Rfam family: Bacterial small subunit ribosomal RNA
Source: RNAcentral